Molecule: ribosomal RNA, 440 nt
Filed under: uncultured bacterium
Lineage: Bacteria
Description: partial 16S ribosomal RNA
Rfam family: Bacterial small subunit ribosomal RNA
Source: RNAcentral
CCUACGGGGGGCAGCAGUGGGGAAUAUUGCACAAUGGGGGAAACCCUGAUGCAGCGACGCCGCGUGAGUGAAGAAGUAAUUCGUUAUGUAAAGCUCUAUCAGCAGGGAAGAAAAUGACGGUACCUGAGUAAGAAGCCCCGGCUAACUACGUGCCAGCCGCCGCGGUAAUACGUAGGGGGCAAGCGUUAUCCGGAUUUACUGGGUGGAAAGGGAGCGUAGACGGCAGUACAAGUCUGGAGUGAAAGGCGGGGGCUCAACCCCCGGACUGCUCUGGAAACUGUACGGCUGGAGUGCAGGAGAGGUAAGUGGAAUUCCUAGUGUAGCGGUGAAAUGCGUAGAUAUUAGGAGGAACACCAGUGGCGAAGGCGGCUUACUGGACUGUAACUGACGUUGAGGCUCGAAAGCGUGGGGAGCAAACAGGAUUAGAUACCCCAGUAGUC